GCGCCGGGCCACGCUCCCUCAUUAACAUCCCUCUCCGGGUGGCGCAGGGGAGCUAGCCAAAGUUCCUCGCAAAGUGGCGAGCGAAGGAUCGCUGAACACCGGCGUCUAUGCUGGGGAAGAGCUGGGCUGAGCUGGGCAGAGCCGGGCUGGAGAGGGGAACAGACGGAAGGGAAGGGCGAUAUUUUUCUCAGGGAUUUGAGCUGGGGUCUGCAUCCUGGUCGUUGCGGUCCAUUUAGCAUCCUCGCCACGCCCUGAGCGCGCUCGCGGUGCACUGGCUGCGCCCUCCCAGGGCUGAUGCUGCGUCCUGCUCCGCUGUUCUGGGACGUCGGGGGCAAAAGUGGAGGAGACGGGAGAGUCCGGGCAGAAAAAGCAGGACGCGCGUCCCAGCAAAUCUAUGAAGUGGAGAUAGUCAUUAUUCUCCUGGAACAAAUGAGGAAACUGAGAUACAGAGGAGUUAGAGAGUUCGUCCAAGUUCCAAAGGCAGUACGUGGUGAAAUCAACAUUCCAUCCUAGGUCACCCCCUGAGGCCAUAUUCCUCCCUUCGCCCCUCUGCUGUGCUAAUUCUGAAGAGAGAGAUAUUUCCCCCCUUUGAGUAUAUGUACAAAGUCAAUGUGGAAGACUCACGCAAGAUGACUUGAGUCAGCUACUCAAGGUCCAUUCGGAACCUCAAGCCUCUAGAAUUUGAGGUGGAUCAUCUGAAGGCUAUGGAGUCAAGAGGGGCAGAAUCUGUCUGGCUUCUUGCACAACCUGAGGCAAGAAGCCCUUGUUGUUCCUGAACACCACUGCCCUGGGCCCUGAAAAUGCCCACAUGACAUUCACUCAGUCCCCUACUUUAACUUCAUCAUCACCAUUGGAAACCACAGGGAGAGGAAAAACUUUUCUAUAUGUACUUAACGGCCAUUAUUCUUACCUCAUUAUUCUUAGUUCACUGGUAAAAAAUAAAGAACAAGCAACUCAGUAUUUAUACUCUAA
This is a long non-coding RNA of Mirounga angustirostris (Northern elephant seal), 972 nucleotides long. RefSeq lists it as uncharacterized. The record is from RefSeq and is a predicted model, not a curated record. The transcript has 2 exons. NCBI's taxonomy places the organism in Eukaryota, Metazoa, Chordata, Mammalia, Carnivora, Phocidae.